Molecule: ribosomal RNA, 264 nt
Filed under: uncultured bacterium
Lineage: Bacteria
Description: partial 16S ribosomal RNA
Rfam family: Bacterial small subunit ribosomal RNA
Source: RNAcentral
UACGGAGGAUCCAAGCGUUAUCCGGAUUUAUUGGGUUUAAAGGGUGCGUAGGCGGCCUAUUAAGUCAGGGGUGAAAGACGGUAGCUUAACUAUCGCAGUGCCUUGAUACUGAUGGGCUUGAAUGAACUAGAGGUAGGCGGAAUGUGACAAGUAGCGGUGAAAUGCAUAGAUAUGUCACAGAACACCAAUUGCGAAGGCAGCUUACUAUGGUUUUAUUGACGCUGAGGCACGAAAGCGUGGGGAUCAAACAGGAUUAGAAACCCU